AUUCCAGCUCCAAGAGCGUAUAUUAAAGUUGUUGCAGUUAAAAAGCUCGUAGUUGGAUUUCUGGUAUAACGCGCCUGGCCCGCUUUUGUGAGUGCCGGUGCGCGUUUGCCAUCCUUCUAGAAAACGUUUCUACCUGGGCAACUGGGCCGGAUUCGCGAUCUAGAUCUUUUACUUUGAAAAAAUUAGAGUGUUUAAAGCAGGCUUUUGCUGUGAAUACAUUAGCAUGGAAUAAUAAUCUAGGACUUCGGUUCUAUUUUGUUGGUUUCUAGUACUGAAGUAAUGAUUGAUAGGGAUAGUUGGGGGUGCUAGUAUUGGCCGGCCAGAGGUGAAAUUCUUGGAUUCGGUCAAGACUAACUUAUGCGAAAGCAUUCACCAAGGAUGUCUUCAUUA
RNAcentral lists this ribosomal RNA (390 nucleotides) under Cryothecomonas sp. RNAcentral describes it as "partial small subunit ribosomal RNA". It matches the Rfam family "Eukaryotic small subunit ribosomal RNA", at positions 582 to 975 of the family's 1831-position model. Lineage: Eukaryota; Cercozoa; Thecofilosea; Cryomonadida; Protaspidae. The record is from RNAcentral.